This 969-nucleotide long non-coding RNA is filed under the name Trifolium pratense (red clover). RNAcentral describes it as "long non-coding RNA (TPRA_LNC003125)". The record is from RNAcentral. Lineage: Eukaryota; Viridiplantae; Streptophyta; Magnoliopsida; Fabales; Fabaceae.
CUUUUUUGUUUUAUUAAUUUCAUUUCAUUACAAUCAUCUUAGAAUACAAAGACACAAGUACAAUGUUUGUGAAAAUAUAAAAAGAAAUAAUAACAAAUUAUUGGAUGCCAACACAAAUAACAAUUCAUUGAAAUUUAAUUUAAUUUUUAAGAGACCAUACAUAUGGCACUCUCUCUGCAAUACAAUCACAUACGCCUUUUUCGGAGAAAAAUGGCCACUUCUUACAAUAAGGUGAUUUAGGAGUUAAGCAUGUAACUUCUUGACAAUCAGAAUCUUCAGCACACAUACUUGCUGUGAUGAAAAAAAUAUAAAAUAAAAAAGUGUUAUUAAAAUGAGAUAAAAUAAUAUGUAGAAAGUAAAUAAGGAAAUUUGAGAAAGGCAAAAAAUGACAUACUAUCAAAGAUAAAUGCAUCAACAAAUAGAGAAAGACACAUGAUCAUAACAUAAACAAACUUAAUAAUUCCAACUAUAUUGUGACCCUUUUGCAUGUAAGAAAUAAAACAUAAUUUCAUCAUUUUAUAAUUUAAUAAGAUCGUUCUCACUUUAGAUACAUUAAAUAGUUUUAGCACUUAUAUAGAUUUGUAAAAAAACCUUCACAAAAUUAGAGUCAUUAUUAAACGUCUCUUUAAGUACAUCAAAGGGUUCAUUAUGUAUGUUAAGAAAGAUUAGUAAAACAACCACAUAAAAAAAUUAUUAUUAAAUAUCUUUUACGUGCAUCAAAGUGUUAUGUUUGUCAUUUUAACGCAUAUAAUAAAGAGGUCACCUCAAAAACUUACCAAUCAAAAUAAUUCAUUCUUAUUUUACAAAGUUUGCAUUAUUCUAUAACCUUUCAUGAGAAAGAAGGGGAAGUCACAAUUUUUUUGUGGAUUUCAUGUGAGCUUUGGGCAAUUGCUGAGCUAUAUCGCUACUAUAUGUUAGAUUUCAUAUUUAUUAAUAUUUCUUCAAGAGAGCAUAAAAAUUCAUGAUUAC